UUCUGCGUGGAUGUAGGUACCCAAAAAGAAGCGCCGGCUAACGUACCAGCCAGCAGCCGCAGUAAUACGUAGGGUGCGAGCUCUAAUCGUAAUUAGUGUAAGUAAAGCGUGCGCAGGCUGCUUUGUAAGACAGGUGAGAAAUCCGCCUGGCUUAACCUGGGAAUGGCGCUUGUGGGGCAAGGCUCGAGUGCGGCGGAGAGGGGAUGGACUUCCACGUGUAGCAGUGAAAUGCGUAGAGAUAUGGAGGAACAGUGGAGAAGGAAGGCAUCCCCUCGGGUCGACACUGUCAGUCAUGCAAGAAAGCGUGGGGAGCAAGCAGGAUUAGAUACCUAGGUAGUGCACUCCCUGAACGAUGUCAAGUGGUUGUUGGGGGAGUGAAAUUCGUUAGUAAGGAAGCUCACUAAUGAAGUUGACCGCGGGGGGAGUUCGCUAGCAAGAUUAUAAAUCAAAGGAAUGGACGGGGACCCGCACAAGCGGUCGAUGAUGUGGAUUAAUUGGAUGCAGCGGGAAAAACCUUACUUACCCCAGACUUGUCCAGAACCAGGAAGAGAUUGUGGGGUUCCCGAAAGGGAAUUCGAACACAGCAGGGGCAUGGUCAUCGUCAGUUCGGGUCGUGAGAUGUUGGGUUAAGUCCGGCAACGAGCGCAACUCUUAUCAUUAGUCGUUCAGCAAGGCCAUUUUAAUGAGACUCCCGGGGCCAACCCGGAGGAAGGUGGGGAGGACGUCAAGUCUUCAUGGCCCUUAUGGGUAGGGCUUCCCCCGUCAUCCAAUGGUCGGUCCAGAGGGAUGGCAAGCCGGGAGGUGGAGCCAUUCCCAGAAAGCCGAUUCUAGUCCGGAUUCUAUUCUCCAAUUGGAUGGCAGGAAGUCGGAAUCGUUAGUAUUCGCAGAUCACCGUGCUGCGGGGAAUACGUUCCCGGCUUUUGUCCCCCCCGCCCGCCCCACCAUGGGAGUGGGUUCCACCAGAAGUAGGUAGGUUACCCUUCGGGAGGCCGCUUACCACGGUGAGACUCAUGACUGGGGGAAGUCGUAACAAGGUAGCCGAAUCUCUGAAGAUCCGCGCACCG
This 1064-nucleotide ribosomal RNA is filed under the name uncultured bacterium. RNAcentral describes it as "bacterial SSU rRNA". It matches the Rfam family "Bacterial small subunit ribosomal RNA", at positions 459 to 1533 of the family's 1533-position model. The record is from RNAcentral.